RNAcentral lists this ribosomal RNA (859 nucleotides) under uncultured bacterium. RNAcentral describes it as "bacterial SSU rRNA". It matches the Rfam family "Bacterial small subunit ribosomal RNA", at positions 60 to 914 of the family's 1533-position model. The record is from RNAcentral.
AGUCGAGCGGAUGAUGGGAGCUUGCUCCUUGAUUCAGCGGCGGACGGGUGAGUAAUGCCUAGGAAUCUGCCUGGUAGUGGGGGACAACGUUUCGAAAGGAACGCUAAUACCGCAUACGUCCUACGGGAGAAAGCAGGGGACCUUCGGGCCUUGCGCUAUCAGAUGAGCCUAGGUCGGAUUAGCUUGUUGGUGAGGUAAUGGCUCACCAAGGCGACGAUCCGUAACUGGUCUGAGAGGAUGAUCAGUCACACUGGAACUGAGACACGGUCCAGACUCCUACGGGAGGCAGCAGUGGGGAAUAUUGGACAAUGGGCGAAAGCCUGAUCCAGCCAUGCCGCGUGUGUGAAGAAGGUCUUCGGAUUGUAAAGCACUUUAAGUUGGGAGGAAGGGUUGUAGAUUAAUACUCUGCAAUUUUGACGUUACCGACAGAAUAAGCACCGGCUAACUCUGUGCCAGCAGCCGCGGUAAUACAGAGGGUGCAAGCGUUAAUCGGAAUUACUGGGCGUAAAGCGCGCGUAGGUGGUUUGUUAAGUUGGAUGUGAAAGCCCCGGGCUCAACCUGGGAACUGCAUCCAAAACUGGCAAGCUAGAGUACGGUAGAGGGUGGUGGAAUUUCCUGUGUAGCGGUGAAAUGCGUAGAUAUAGGAAGGAACACCAGUGGCGAAGGCGACCACCUGGACUGAUACUGACACUGAGGUGCGAAAGCGUGGGGAGCAAACAGGAUUAGAUACCCUGGUAGUCCACGCCGUAAACGAUGUCAACUAGCCGUUGGAAUCCUUGAGAUUUUAGUGGCGCAGCUAACGCAUUAAGUUGACCGCCUGGGGAGUACGGCCGCAAGGUUAAAACUCAAAUGAAUUGAC